Molecule: unclassified non-coding RNA, 514 nt
Filed under: Hevea brasiliensis (rubber tree)
Lineage: Eukaryota; Viridiplantae; Streptophyta; Magnoliopsida; Malpighiales; Euphorbiaceae
Source: RNAcentral
AUUGAGAAAUAUAUAGUAGCAGGUUUGUAAUGUUAAAAAGGAUCAAUAUUUUGUAUUCAUUUGCAUUAAAUUCAUUCACAUUUCCCCUUUGCUUAAAGUAUACUUUAUAUCUGACAAAUACAGUUGUCCUUCUAGGAUAGGCUUACACCAGAGAUAGGGAUUUGUUAAACUAGUAAUGUUGGCGGGCACUUUGGAAUUAGGAAGUCAAACAAUGACGAUAAAGUUUUAUUGAAUUCUCUUCUGAUCUUCACUAAUUUUUCCUUCUCAAAUAUACUUUGUAUCUGUCUAAUACAGUUGUUCUUCUUGAUAGGCUCACACCAGAGAUAGUGAUUUGUUAAACUAGUGAUGAUGGUCAGCACUUUGGAAUUAGGAAGUAAAAUAGUGAAGAAUCAAGUUUUAUUGAAUUCUUUUUUUCCAGCUAAUUUUUCCUUCUCAUUUUAAAUGUGCAGGAAUGCACUUCUGUCUGAUACUUAUUGAUCUUUCCACUAUACAGGUGCAGCGAUGGAGGUAAACA